Molecule: unclassified non-coding RNA, 240 nt
Filed under: soil metagenome
Description: partial contains 5.8S ribosomal RNA, internal transcribed spacer 2, and large subunit ribosomal RNA
Source: RNAcentral
AAGACUAUAGACCUGCGGAGUACCUGCGGAAGGAUCAUUAACAAUUUAUCCUAACUAUGGAUAAAUUUUAUCCAUAUCCACCUUGUGUGCAUCAUUGAAGCGUUAGUUGGCAGGUGAAAUCCUUUUCAAAGGAUUUAAAGUGCAGUUGAUUUGCAGCCUGCCAAUUUUAUUUGUCUAAACUUGUCUACUUACACUUUUGACUGAAAUGUUAUUAUUUAAUAAAUACAACUUUCAACAACG